ACACGACUACAUUAGAUACCCCGGUAGUCCAGGGUGUAAACGCUGCGGGCUUGGUGUUGGGGGUCCUUUGAGGGCGCCCAGUGCCGGAGAGAAGUUGUUAAGCCUGCUGCUUGGGGAGUACGUCCGCAAGGCUGAAACUUAAAGGAAUUGGCGGGGAGCACCACAAGAGGUGGAGGCUGCGGUUCAAUUGGACUCAACGCCGGAAAACUCAUCGGGAGCGACAGCAGUAUGAUUGCCAGGUUGAUGACCUUGCUUGACAAGCUG
Molecule: ribosomal RNA, 264 nt
Filed under: uncultured archaeon
Lineage: Archaea
Description: partial 16S ribosomal RNA
Rfam family: Archaeal small subunit ribosomal RNA
Source: RNAcentral